Symphalangus syndactylus (siamang) is the source of this 9111-nucleotide long non-coding RNA. RefSeq lists it as uncharacterized. The record is from RefSeq and is a predicted model, not a curated record. NCBI's taxonomy places the organism in Eukaryota, Metazoa, Chordata, Mammalia, Primates, Hylobatidae.
GCUAGGUACCUGGUUUUCUCUCCGCGGCUCGCUGCGCACGGUACCCCUGUCCCUCCUUGGCCUUCCACUCAGGGCAAUCCCCAGCCACUCUCAGGGUGUUCUUGAGCCGUACUGAAAGUUUGGGAAGACUAAAGGAAAUGAGAGGUCCCUCAGUCUGAACAGGACAGCGGUGGGUGGGUGGCCUGGGAUCCUCAAAGUAUGAAAACCUAUCGGCCGGCAGGAACUGCUUCAGUCAUUUCAGGGGCAGAAAUGUUUGAUCAGCACUUCUGCGGGAGGAGGUUCCUGAAUCCUGUGUUCCUUAAGGGCUUCCUUGCUGCAGGCGGGGGAUGUUUCAAUGGGCUUUCCCUUGAGCCCGUUGGAAAUUACUUCUCAAGCAAUUUUCCGAUGAUCAACUCCUUUUUAUAGGCAGUUUGUCGUUAAGGGGAGGGGACUGGGUUACCCAGGAAAUAAGUGAGUAUAGGGAUUCUAAGGCCCCUUUUCAUUUUGUCUUGUCUCUGUCCCUUUCAAUCACAGCUGGUGGCAUUUUUGCCAAUGUAAGUUUCUUAAUUUUGUGGGUCUUCCUAUGAAUCUUAAUGGGAUUCGCUCCAUCGGACAAGCCACACUCACAAAUGUCUUUGAGCUAGCCCUUCUCUACAUUGGGCAGCUGUAGUUUGGGGCUUACAGUUUUCUAAGAAGUCUGAAGUGGGUCUCACUGGGCUAAAAUCAAGGUUUCGACGGUGCUGCAUUCCUUCUGGAGGUUCCAGAGGAGAAUCUUUUCUUGCCUUUUCCAACUUCCAGAGGCUGCCUGCAUCCUUGACUCGCAGCCCCUUCUUCCAACUUCAAAGUAGCAACCUCAGCCAGAGUCCGUCCAUUGCUGCCCUCUGUAUGGUUCUCUCUCCUCCGCAGCCCUCUUCCACUUUUAAGGACCCUCAUGGUUAACACUGGGCUCACCCAGCUAAUUGAGGAGAAUCUUUAAGGCCAGCUGAUUAGCAACCUUAAUUCCAUUUGCAAUUUUAUUCCCUUUUGUCAUGUAACCUAACAUAUUCAGAGGUUCCGGGGAUUAGGACAUGGAUAUCUUUGGGGGGGUGGUAUUCAGCUGACCACAGCGGGAUUAGAAAACCAGACGGAAGUGAAUGGAUACCAGGAAUCUAGGAUCCAGCUGGCUGUGAGGCUGGCAGAGGUAUCCCAGACCUGUCAACUCUCAGGAAAGCUGCAUCCAGAGUGCUUUUUGGAUCACUGGGGGAUACCUGGCCUCACUCUAGACUCACUGCCUUGGUCGUUUCAGGAUUGAAUCCGUGAUCAGGAAAUGUUCCCAGUGUUGCUGAUGUACUCCUUCCACACUUGAGAGUCCUGAAUCCCGUCUCCUGAGGAGAGGAAUUGGGCUCAAGUGGCUAGAGAGAAGUUUCUUGUCAGAGAAAUCUCGUUACCUUGAGGAGAGGAAGCAUAACUAGACUGGGAUGGAUAGGAUACUUAGGGAAGAGGAAGUGUUUCAUAUCCCUGGACCAGGAGGCCAGAAUGAGGCAAACUUGCCCCUCUGUCUGGCCUUCUGUGUUGAGGAGGCCUGAGGUGGCAGAAGGAAGAUGGGAGAAGGGCCCCCAAGAAAGCUCUGGUCAGCCUCAGGCUGUCCCCACCCCACCCCGCUGAUAUAGCAUAUGUGGAGAUAAGGGAGCACGCAGGAGCAAGUGUCACCCCUCCCCUCCCAACAGCAGCCAAAAGGGUCAUGGCCCUGGCUGCUCUAACUUGGCCCUUGUGUGUCCUGAAGCACAGACACACUGCUUAGAAAGAUCAUCCUGGUCAUGGUGGCUCAUGCCUGUAAUCGCAGCACUUUGGGAGGCCGAGGUGGGCAGAUCAUGAGGUCAGGAGUUCGAGACCAGCCUGACCAACAUGGUGAAGCCCCGCGUCUAUUAAAAAUACAAAAAUUAGCUGGGCGUGGUGGCACGCACCUGUAAUCCCAGCUACUCAGGGAACUGGAGCAGGAGAAUCGCUUGAACCCGGAGGCAGAGGUUGCAGUGAGCUGAGAUCACACCACUGCAUUCCAGCCUGGGCGACAAAGCAAGACUCCAUCUCAAAAAAAAAAAAAAAAAAAGAGAUUCUCCUUUGUCUUGCCUCUCAGCUGUCAUAAGCAAUCAGUGUCCUGUCCCCUUAAUAAUAUGGUCGUUCUCAAAGUAGGAUCCCCAGGCUAGCAGCAGCAUCAUCCCCCUUAAAAGUUGUUAGAAAACCAAAUUCUGGGGUCCCACUCCACACCUAUAAAACAAAUUCUGGGGUCAGGGCUUAGCAGCCUCUGUUUUGACAGUCCUUCUAGUUGACAUGCUAUAAAGUUUGAGAAUCACUGACUCAGAGGAAAUAGCUUUGUGGCGAAAAUGAGCCAAGGCUGGGCGCGGUGGCUCACGCCUGUAAUUCCAGCACUUUGGGAGGCUGAGGCAGGUGCAUCACCUGAGGUCAGGAGUUUGAGACCAGCCUGGCCAACAUGGUGAAACCCCGUCUCGACUAAAAAUACAAAAAAUAACGGUGUGGUGGCACACACCUGUAAUCCCAGCUACUCAGGAGGCUGAGGCGGAACAAUCACUUGAACCCGGGACGCAGAGGUUGCAGUGAGCUGAGAGCUCACUGGGAGACAAAGUGAGACUCUGUCUCAAAAAAACAAAAAAGGAAAGAAAAUAAACGAGCCAUAGGAAAGGCCACAAGACAGCUACUUCCUUCCACAAGCACAUGCUGGGGCUCCCUGCCUCUCCUUUUGCUCAGAGCCACACUGGCUCUUAAUGGCUUCAGGAGGUCACACCAGCCUCCGUCCUGCCACACGACCUUUGCACUUGCGGGGCCGUGACCAGCAGCACUCAACAAGGCUGGCCGCUUCUCAUGCAUGAUGUCUGAGCAUACGUCUCAGGAGGGGCCGUCACGUAGUACCCUGUAUAGUAACAGCCCUUGCUGCUCCCAUGGUGACUUUUUAUUUCCUUUUAGCAUUUUCUACUUUUGAAUAAGUUCACAUAGAUUGGUUUACUUUUUUUUUUCUUCUUAAUUUAGACACAGUGUCCUGCUCUGUCACCCAGGCUGGAGUGCAGUGGCACGCCACUCAUAUAGCUCACCACAACCUUGGACUUCUGAGCUUAAGCAGUCCUCCCGCCUCAGCCUUCUGAGUAGCUGGGAUUACAGGUCUGCACCACCACACCUGGCUAAUUUUAUUAUUUAUUUAGACAGAGUUUUGCUCUUGUUGCCCAGGCUGGAGCGCAAUGGCAUGAUCUUGGCUCACCACAACCUCCGCCUCCUGGGUUCAAGCGAUUCUCCUGCCUCAGCCUCCCGAGUAGCUGGGAUUACAGGCAUAUGCCACCACGCCCAGCUAAUUUUUUGUACUUUUAGUAGAGACAGAGUUUCUCCAUGUUGGUCAGGCUGGUCUUGAACUCCCGACCUCAGGUGAUCAGCCCGCCUUGGCCUCCCAAAAUGCUGGGAUUACAGGCAUAAACUACUGUACCCGGCCUACACAUAUAUAUACACAUAUAUAUGUGUAUAUAUAGAUAUGUAUGUGUAUAUAUAUGUAUGUGUGUGUGUGUGUGUGUGUGUGUGUGUGUAUAUAUAUAUAUACAUAUAUAUUUUUUUUUUUUUUUUUUUUUUUUUUUUGAGAUGGAGUCUUGCUCUGAUGCCCAGGCUGGAGUGCAGUGGUAUGAUCUCGGCUCACUGCAAUCUCCGCCUCCCAGGUUCAAGCGAUUUUCUUGUCUCAGCCUCCCGAGUAGCUGGGAUUACAGACACGCACCACCAUACCCGGCUAGUUUUUGUAUUUUUAGUAGUGACGGGGUUUUACCAUGUUGGCUAGGCUGGUCUUGAACUCCUCACUUCAGGUGAUCUGCCCACCUUGGCCUCCCAAAGUACUGGGAUUAUAGGCAUGAGCCAACACGCCAGGCCAGACCUGGCUAAUUUUUUAAAAAAAUACUCCCAAAGCAAUGGGCUGACGGGUGUGAGCUGUUUACUUCUUUUGUUUGUUUCUUUACUUCUUAUUGUCUGCCUCUCUUCAGAAGCUAAUUCCCAUUACAGCAGGUGCCGUAUUCUUUGCCGCCACCAUAUCACCAAUGUCUACAACUGCCUGACACACAGUAGGUAGUCAGAUGCUGAAAGAGUGAAUGAAUGAUGUUCCCUGAGGGCAGGCAUGGGUUCUCCAAGUGCCUAUUUCAAUACUCCUCCCAUGCCACCACCCCUAGGCCCAAGCUUGGCAUUCCUUUUUUCCUGAGUGAUCAGGAAGGCACAGCCACUGUCCUCGGCCUAGUGUGUGAUGUCUGUAACUAAGAAAAAGGCUCCGUCCUUGCCUCAGCUGUGAGGGGUGGGGCCUCAGAGAUAAGGAGGACCCUACCCUUGUGUCGCUGGCCCUUCUUUUCAGCAUGUCAGACGAAUUUGUAAUUUCAACCCCAGCCUUUCCCUGCCUUAGCCAUAGUUGCUAAGGCAACAAUUGGGCCUCAAUUUCCUGAUGACCAGAGUCCACCAAUGGCUGCCAUCAUCGUGUUAUCUCCUGGUCAGCUAUUCAUGGCACCAUCUCAGCAGUGCCCCAGUCUGGCCAAUGCAGAGGAAGUCACCAAGGAGGCUGGGAGGAGGAGCCUCAAGUUUUGCACAAACUAUACACGGCACCUGCUCUGUCACACCUCCUAUGUGCUGUUCCCUUCCUUUGGGUGCCUCUCUUGUCUCCUGGCCUGCUCUUCUGUCAUCAAGGCUGGGCUCGAAGCCUUCUCUGGGAAGCCCCUGCAGAUGCUUCAGGCACAACGAUCCCUUCUGUGCAAGCCCACAGAGCCUUUCCUGUCUCACUGCUCAGUGACUGACCUGCCCUAAGUCCUUUUCUCCUAGAUUUGCUCCCCAAAGACCAAGGAGGGUCUUGGUCAUUUCAUCUGGUGUCAAGCAAGGUGUGCCUCGGUCUCCUGUGCAUAGCAGGUGUUCCAACAGUGGGACCUCUGGCACAUCGACAGAAUCCUAACGACCCAGGGACUGAGACCCAUCAUCACGUGGGUGGUCAGGACAGCAGGACUGAGGCGGUGACUUAGCUACAGCAGAGGAAGCCAGACCAGACCCUACUGGGUGUCCCCCCAACACAGUGUCCCAUGUGAGGUUGCAGCGCCCAUGCCACCACCCCCGAUGUCCUUGAGGGCGAGUUGGGUUCCCCUUCUGGAGGCCAUUAGUGCUUGUCACAGCAGCGUGUUGGGAGAUGGAGUCUGCAGGCCGUGAUCUGUGCUCCCUCUGGGAGUGUGGUCUGGAAGGGACAGAGGAAAGAGGAGCAGGAGGAGCCAGAAAGCAAGCAGGCACGGUGGCUCACGCCUGGAAUCCCAGCACUUUGGGAGGACGAGGCAGGCGGAUCACCUGAGGUCAGGAGUUUGAGACCAGCCUGGCCAACAUGGUGAAACCCGUCUCUACUAAAAAUACAAAAAAUUAGCUGGGCGUUGUGGUGCACGCCUGUAAUCCCAGCUACUCGGUUGGCUGAGGCAGGAGAAUCACUUGAACCAUGGAGGCAGACAUUGCAGUGAGCCGAGAUCACGCCACUGCACUCCAGCCUGGGCGACAGAGUGAUACUCUGUCUCAAAAACAAUCAAACAAACAAAAGAAGCCAAGCAGAAGCAGGUUUCACCCCCUUCGGCUGAUCCUGCCUUGUCCAGCAGGCUGAAUGAGCUUUGGAGCCAUAAUCAAUCACUCUCCACUCUGUUGGGGACCAGAGGCAGCGUCAUCCUGCCCAGGCCACAAGGCAGCGGCAGAGAGCGUCACAAGUCAGCUGGUGCGAUUCUGCCCACAGCCCCAGGCUCAGUAGGUGCCAACCCCAAUGGCCACUACAGGGUUGCUGUCUUAGCCCUGGGAUCCCGCAUACGCCCACCAGGAGGUAGCUGAGUGUGUCUUGCUCUAGCUGAUGCACUUCCACUCCUGGUCCCCAGGGGGUGUCAGGGACAAGUCUCUGGUUUGCAGAAGCCAAGUUACUCUGGGGCAGGAGCUGGGAUGGUGUAAGGGGGUAGUGGGCGUCCGUGGGCUGUGCAGAUUUCGGCCCUGGGCUGGGUAAAGCAAGCUUAUGCUGCACCUGUCCCCUGGGGCUAUUCUGUCCAGUGCUCCUCUCCAUAAUCCUUUCCUGAUGGCGCCAGGCUGGGCUUCUGUGUCCCCUACAGGAUGGUCAAUGGGGGCUGGCUAUGGGUCCGCGAAACAUUCUGUGCUCUGAUGGGAAGGCUUAAAGGGAAAUUAAGGGACCUCUGAAGAGUAUGCAUCCCAUUAUUGGCACCAGUAAGUGGGUACUGGUAGCAACAGCAGGUGGUGCGGGUGGGAGUUGCCAAGAGGGAGAGGUAGGAAAUAGAAUAUAAGGAGAAAAAUGAUUGAAGAUCUCAAAUGUCCCUUUAUGAACCCCCCCGGGGCCUCCCACCCGCCUAGCACAGCUCCCCACCUUCACCACGCCCCCUGCCCCACCUGUACUCGCACCAGUAACAACAGCGGCCAUUGCCUGAGCACUUACUCUGUCCCAUCACCAGGUUCAGGUGCUUUACAUAAUUCUUGCCUUUCAUCCUCACAACUCCAUGAGGGAGGUAGUGCCAUGAUGCCCAUUUUACAGAUGAAGAAACAGAGGCUGAGAGGGGUCAGGUGAGUUGUCCACAUCACGUAGGCAGGGAGUGGAACAACCAGAAUUGGAAGUAAGCACACUGACUCUUAGCCUCCGUGCAGACUCCAGCAGACAGCAAAGGAGAGAGGCUGAGGAAGAGUUCGAAGCCACAUUGACAUGUUCCUUGCCCACAUGUUUACCAUCUCUCUUGUAGCCUGGGGGCUGACACAUCCUCCUGCCUUCCCACUUUUUUCUUUUGCAAGCCCUGGUUUGCAGAGACUGGAGAACAGCCAAGCCAGAGCUGGGAGCAGUCUCUGGCCUGAAGCCCCAGUUGGAGAAGUCAUCCAGAACAAAGACCAGUCUUCUGCGAGGUGGAUGAGAGUGGGUGUCCCGAGCAGAGGCUGUAGUUUAGGGAGGUUAGGCUGCUUGCCCAAGCCCCGCGUGGCCUGAGAUAUCAAGCAAAACAGCUGUCUCAGUCAUUAGACACCUAAUGUGUGCAUGAACCUGUCUCGGGUCCUCUUCCUUGGUCCAUGGUGUGGACUCCCCAAUAACUGAUUUGGAGAUGAGGGAAUAGGUCCCUUUCAGACACAGCCCAUGUGUAACCUUCUGGGGUGUAAUAGCUUUGACAAUGUACACCCCUUGGCCAGCAGUGACACCUCUAAUGCUCUAAUGUUCCCUCCUAUGGAAGUUUCUGUUCAGUUAGGUACAGGUCUCUCUCUUUUUUUUUUGAGACAGAGUCUUGCUCUGUCGCCAGGCUGGAGUGCAAUGGUGCGAUCUUGGCUCACUGCAGCCUCCACCUCCCUGGUUCAAGUGAUUCUCCUACCUCAGCCUCCUGAGUAGCUGGGACUACAGCCACGCACCACCACUCCCAGCUAAUUGUUUGUUUUUGUAGAGACGGGGUUUCACCAUGUUGGCCAGGAUGGUCUCAAUCUCUUGACUUUGUGAUCUGUCUGCCUUGGCCUCCCAAAGUGCUGGGAUUACAGGCGUGAGCCACCGCGCCCGGCUGGCACAGGUCUAUCUCUAGUUCUACCAUCUCUAUCUCCAACUCCAUCAUCUCCCUUUUCCCCACCAUCACCAUCACCUCUGUCUCCAUCUCCGUCACUCAUCUCCAUCAUCUCUCUUCUGUGCCACUGCUCUCCCCUCUCUCUUUGAUGCUGCUAUUGUCUCUCUCAUCUUCCUCUAAAUUUAUAUCUAUAUAAUAGCAAAAUUAGCAAUAAACAGAAAACUGGAAACAAUGUAAAUGUGGAGCAAUUGGAGUUAAGUUCUGAUGUAUUUAAUAUGGGGUUGACUUCAGUUCUGAUAUAUUUAUAUGAUGAAAUAAUCCUACAUUCAACAUAUUUGAGUACCUGUCUUUGCCAGGCACCACGACUCCAAAGGCAAACAAAUACUAAGUAAUUAUUAAAAUGAUGCAGAAAGUUUAGUUCAAGAUGGUGAAUUAAACUUACACAUUUACCUCCUUUUCUCCCUUGCCAAAUCCCACUGAAAUGACAUUGGAGAUGUAUAGAAAUGAACACAUCCAUAACAGAGCAUAGAAUAGGUAGAGAGGUUGGGGAGGGGGAAGACUUAUAACAGCUACUGCAGUUAAGCUGCCUAGUUCUUUAUUCCUAAAUAUGGACAACCGAAGCUCACCAGAUAUUUGAGAUAAACCAGCAGCAUAAAAGAGAUGGCCCAACAUAAACAAGCAGAUCACCUGAUCCCAGAGGAAGUCAGAGAACAGAAGACAACUUUGAAAAAGCGUUGGACUGCCACGCAAGCACUGGUAAUGCGGAUGCCGAGGUGCGGCCAUUGCCACGGGAGAUGCUCCUGCGCGGAGACAGGACCCUGCUUCUGGAAGGCCCGAGGGGAAACUGGAUUUGCUACAGCUGAGAGUUGUUCAAAGUCCUGUGCACGGUUUCACACGUUUCACUGAAAUCGGAGCAGCUGCUGCAGAUCUUCUGGAACUGAUGUGAUGCGGCGCCUUGCUCUGCCUGGUCCACGCUGUACUUCAAGUGUCGCAAAAACAGGCCCCUGCUCUCUGCCCUCAUGAUGUGACUUAAUGGGAGAUGCCAAGGUGGGCAGGCGCUGGGGCUGCAGGUCUGGGAAGUGGACAAAGCAGCCGUGAGAUGGGAAGAAGUGUCCCCUCUACUUAGUGUUGCUAGACAGCCUGUGUGUUGGAAGUGAGAUCUUUCAAGAUAGAUAGAACUGAAAUCUUUUUUUUUUUUUUUUUUUGCAGGGGUGGGGUUGGGGUCUCGUUCUGUCUCCCAGGCUGGAGUACAGUGGUGCAGCCUCGAAUUCCUGGGCUCAAGAGAUCCUCCUGCCUCAGCCUCCCAAAGCACUGGGAUUAAAGGUGUGAGCCACCGUGCCUGGCAGAACAAAAUCCCAACAGAGAUGUUAUCUCUGGAAAGGGGUGGCUGGAAAUAGUUUUAUCACUGUUUAUCCAAAUAAACGAGUUAAUAUUUGUAAAGUGCUUAGGACAGUGCCUAGCAGCUGGUGAACAGCUAUAAAAAUGAUAUUAAAUCUGCUUUUUAAUUUCCCUACAAUGAAUACAUAUUAGCUAAUUAAUAACAAAAUUAUAAAAGACUUCUGGCUCCAUUAAAGUCAACAGAACAAAAGGU